CCCUUAGAUGUUCUGGGCCGCACGCGCGCUACACUGAUGCAUUCAACGAGUCUAAAACCUGCUCUGAUAGGGGUGGGUAAUCUUUUGAAUGUGCAUCGUGAUUGGGAUAGAUGAUCGCAAUUUUUCAUCUUCAACGAGGAAUGCCUAGUAAACGCAAGUCAUCAGCUUGCAUUGAUUACGUCCCUGCCCUUUGUACACACCGCCCGUCGCUCCUACCGAUUGAAUGAUCCGAUGAAUAUCAUGGAUUGAGGAUUAUAGCAGGUUCGCCUGUCUUGAUCUUCGAGAAGUGAAGUAAAUCUUAUCAUUUAGAGGAAGGAGAAGUCGUAACA
RNAcentral lists this ribosomal RNA (329 nucleotides) under uncultured eukaryote. RNAcentral's name for it is "partial 18S ribosomal RNA". It matches the Rfam family "Eukaryotic small subunit ribosomal RNA", at positions 1470 to 1796 of the family's 1831-position model. The record is from RNAcentral.